AAAGGUCUCGUUGGUGACCAGCGGAGGGACAUUACCGAGUUUACAACUCCCAAACCCAAUGUGAACCAUACCAAACUGUUGCCUCGGCGGGGUCACGCCCCGGGUGCGUCGCAGCCCCGGAACCAGGCGCCCGCCGGAGGGACCAACCAAACUCUUUCUGUAGUCCCCUCGCGGACGUUAUUUCUUACAGCUCUGAGCAAAAAUUCAAAAUGAAUCAAAACUUUCAACAACGGAUCUCUUGGUUCUGGCAUCGAUGAAGAACGCAGCGAAAUGCGAUAAGUAAUGUGAAUUGCAGAAUUCAGUGAAUCAUCGAAUCUUUGAACGCACAUUGCGCCCGCCAGUAUUCUGGCGGGCAUGCCUGUCCGAGCGUCAUUUCAACCCUCGAACCCCUCCGGGGGGUCGGCGUUGGGGAUCGGGAACCCCUAAGACGGGAUCCCGGCCCCGAAAUACAGUGGCGGUCUCGCCGCAGCCUCUCCUGCGCAGUAGUUUGCACAACUCGCACCGGGAGCGCGGCGCGUCCACGUCCGUAAAACACCCAACUUCUGAAAUGUUGACCUCGGAUCAGGUAGGAAUACCCGCUGAACUUAAGCAUACA
This 595-nucleotide ribosomal RNA is filed under the name Trichoderma koningiopsis. RNAcentral describes it as "eukaryotic LSU rRNA". The stretch from base 219 to 372 matches the Rfam family "5.8S ribosomal RNA". Lineage: Eukaryota; Fungi; Ascomycota; Sordariomycetes; Hypocreales; Hypocreaceae. The record is from RNAcentral.